RNAcentral lists this long non-coding RNA (225 nucleotides) under Hordeum vulgare. Its description in RNAcentral is "long non-coding RNA (HVUL_LNC015157)". Lineage: Eukaryota; Viridiplantae; Streptophyta; Magnoliopsida; Poales; Poaceae. The record is from RNAcentral.
CGUACCUAGGACAGUUGUUUUACAGUUACAGUGAGUUUAGUUUUGUACACCCACCGACUUUCAGGAUUCAUUGUAAUUGUUUGAGCUCUGGAUUUGGAUGCAGAGCACCGUGGGAUGAUUGAUUGAACCGAAGUAGUCUUUCUUCAGGUAUAUACUCUGCAAGACUCGACAACAGCAAACAUGUCCUAUGAUGCUACUCACAGCAAACUCGAAAGGUUCUUUGAC